GCGCUCAGGGCCUUGCUGUUGCUGGAAAUGGCUGCUGUUCUUGUCGGGAGCUCUGAUCUUCACCACGAGCAUCACUUCCUAGCUCCAGUGUCGAUCCCUCAGCCUGGUGGAACCAAUUCUUCACCUCACCUGCACAGGUUUUCUGUCUUCCACCAAUGGCCCUUGGGCCUUCAGGUCUCUGGUGACAAUGUGUGCACACCUGUCCUGAGUCCUCAGUCACAGCCACACCCGCAGAAGUGCUGUGAAGUCCCAAACCACACAGGUCUGUUACCAUCCAGCUUGUGGGUUCUCUUCUCAGCCCAGAAAGAAUUACAAGGUCUCUCCCAUGCCUUCCUUGACAAAGAAGAUAAAGACGUAAACACGGAGUCAAGGAUUUUAUUUUGAUGCCUUCCUUGAGUUCCUAUGGGAAUUUUUAGAACUUCUAGAAGCUUCCAACUCCUCCCUAACAAAAAUCAGUAAGUAAACCAGAAUUAAUUCCCCACCACUCUUCUCACUGCUGCUCCCCACAGUGUGGACCACAUCCUGGGGUCACACCCUUUCAGACUGCUGUGGAAGGCUCCUGUCUACUCCUUCAGCUAGACUGUGGGACCCUUCAGAGAUUUUGAUGCAGGGUCGAGUGAAGAUUACAGAACGUCCCCCUGGACAGACACAGGUGGGAGCAAGUGUGCGUCUUCGGGAGAAAUGGAUGUCCAAGCAAAAACCAGGACUCAGAAGGAAGGAACCAAGGAAGGAGCAAGAUCACUGCAGAGGGCAGACAUAGCAGGAGCAAGGGCCAGUGAGUGGAACAGCAGCAGGCGGAGGAAGGAAUUGCGGCAGUAGAGGAAUCUGCUGGAGGUGGAUAGAAGGAGACAGGGAUGAGCAUGGAAUGAUGGAGCCAGUUUGCAAGGAGCACGAACGUGAAGCGAAGGGACGGGCCCAAGGUCUCAGGAAGCUUGCUGCAUCAAGUAUUAGUGGCUGCCUGUCUUGCAUGUGUGGCUCUGCAUGUGGGUAAAUGGGCAGCCCAGUGUGGUGGGAAGUCAGACAAGCCAGAGAUCCCAUCUAGAGAUAACCACAGGGACCAAGCCACGGGGAAGGGGACCUUUGAGGGCCCCAGGCCGCAAAGGCUCUGUGGAUGAGGAGAUGCCCGAACCUCAAUGGGACGAUGCACAGGAGUUCACUCUGGGAGGAAGCAGGGACACUUUCCUGCCAGAGGGCGCAGAGGAUUGGUGUUCCGGGAAGGUGAGAGGGCAAGGAGAAUUUAAGGGACAGCAAAGAGCUACAUGAGCCGCACACAGUGGGUGAGCAGCA
Molecule: long non-coding RNA, 1287 nt
Filed under: Fukomys damarensis (Damara mole-rat)
Lineage: Eukaryota; Metazoa; Chordata; Mammalia; Rodentia; Bathyergidae
Description: lncRNA (ENSFDAG00000030503.1)
Source: RNAcentral